This 429-nucleotide unclassified non-coding RNA is filed under the name soil metagenome. RNAcentral describes it as "partial contains 5.8S ribosomal RNA, internal transcribed spacer 2, and large subunit ribosomal RNA". The stretch from base 1 to 120 matches the Rfam family "5.8S ribosomal RNA", at positions 35 to 154 of the family's 154-position model. The record is from RNAcentral.
GAUGAAGAACGCAGCGAAAUGCGAUACGUAAUGUGAAUUGCAGAAUUCAGUGAAUCAUCGAAUCUUUGAACGCAUAUUGCGCUCUUUGGUAUUCCGAAGAGCAUGCUUGUUUGAGUAUCAGUAAACACCUCAAAGACUUCAAUUUGUUUUGAAUGGCUUUGGACUUGAGCAAUCCCAACACCAGUCUUUACGUUCGGUGGAGGGUUGCUUGAAAUGCAGGUGCAGCUGGACAUUCUCCUGAGCUAAAAGCAUAUUUAUUUAGUCCCGUCAAACGGAUUAUUACUUUUGCUGCAGCUAACAUAAAGGGAGUUUGACCGUAUUGGCUGACUGAUGCAGGAUUUCACAAGGGUCGGCAACGAUUCUUGUAAAACUCGAUCUCAAAUCAAGUAAGACUACCCGCUGAACUUAAGCAUAUCAAUAAGCGGAGGA